CUUGAGUCCUGUGUGAAGCUUUGGGUGCCACAAUAUAGGACAGAUAUUAAGCUACUAGAGAGUGACCAGAGGAGGGUCACAAGGAUGGUGAAGGCUCUGGAGAGGAAGCUGUAUGAGGACUGGCUGAGGUCACUUGGUCUGUUCAGCCUGGAGAAGAGGAGACUGAGGGGAGACCUCAGUUUGGUCUCCAAUAUCCUCACAAGGGGAAGCAGAAGGGCAAAGUACUGAUCCAUUC
Molecule: long non-coding RNA, 235 nt
Organism: Corvus hawaiiensis (hawaiian crow)
Lineage: Eukaryota; Metazoa; Chordata; Aves; Passeriformes; Corvidae
Exons: 3
Source: RefSeq, a predicted model, not a curated record